CAAUAGCGUAUAUUUAAGUUGUUGCAGUUAAAAAGCUCGUAGUUGGAUUUCGGGUGGGACGCAGCGGUCUCGCAUUGCGUUUGUACUGCUGCAGCCCUCCUUCUUGCCGGGGGCGGCCUCUCGGACUUCACUGUCUGGGGGUCAGAAUCGGCGAUGUUACUUUGAGUAAAUUAGAGUGUUCAAAGCAAGCUUACGCUCUGAAUAUAAUAGCAUGGGAUAACACGACAGGACUCUGGCCUAUCGUGUUGGUCUAUAGGACCAGAGUAAUGAUUAAGAGGGACAGUCGGGGGCAAUCGUAUUCCGUUGUCAGAGGUGAAAUUCUUGGAUUUACGGAAGACGAACAUCUGCGAAAGCAUUUGCCAAGGAUGUUUNCAUUGA
RNAcentral lists this ribosomal RNA (378 nucleotides) under uncultured eukaryote. Its description in RNAcentral is "partial 18S ribosomal RNA". It matches the Rfam family "Eukaryotic small subunit ribosomal RNA", at positions 592 to 976 of the family's 1831-position model. The record is from RNAcentral.